This 1402-nucleotide ribosomal RNA is filed under the name Enterobacter sp. VH-30. Its description in RNAcentral is "bacterial SSU rRNA". It matches the Rfam family "Bacterial small subunit ribosomal RNA". The record is from RNAcentral. Lineage: Bacteria; Pseudomonadati; Pseudomonadota; Gammaproteobacteria; Enterobacterales; Enterobacteriaceae.
UCGAGCGGUACACAGAGAGCUUGCUCUCGGGUGACGAGCGGCGGACGGGUGAGUAAUGUCUGGGAAACUGCCUGAUGGAGGGGGAUAACUACUGGAAACGGUAGCUAAUACCGCAUAACGUCGCAAGACCAAAGUGGGGGACCUUCGGGCCUCAUGCCAUCAGAUGUGCCCAGAUGGGAUUAGCUAGUAGGUGGGGUAAUGGCUCACCUAGGCGACGAUCCCUAGCUGGUCUGAGAGGAUGACCAGCCACACUGGAACUGAGACACGGUCCAGACUCCUACGGGAGGCAGCAGUGGGGAAUAUUGCACAAUGGGCGCAAGCCUGAUGCAGCCAUGCCGCGUGUAUGAAGAAGGCCUUCGGGUUGUAAAGUACUUUCAGCGAGGAGGAAGGCAUUAAGGUUAAUAACCUUGGUGAUUGACGUUACUCGCAGAAGAAGCACCGGCUAACUCCGUGCCAGCAGCCGCGGUAAUACGGAGGGUGCAAGCGUUAAUCGGAAUUACUGGGCGUAAAGCGCACGCAGGCGGUCUGUCAAGUCGGAUGUGAAAUCCCCGGGCUCAACCUGGGAACUGCAUUCGAAACUGGCAGGCUAGAGUCUUGUAGAGGGGGGUAGAAUUCCAGGUGUAGCGGUGAAAUGCGUAGAGAUCUGGAGGAAUACCGGUGGCGAAGGCGGCCCCCUGGACAAAGACUGACGCUCAGGUGCGAAAGCGUGGGGAGCAAACAGGAUUAGAUACCCUGGUAGUCCACGCCGUAAACGAUGUCGACUUGGAGGUUGUGCCCUUGAGGCGUGGCUUCCGGAGCUAACGCGUUAAGUCGACCGCCUGGGGAGUACGGCCGCAAGGUUAAAACUCAAAUGAAUUGACGGGGGCCCGCACAAGCGGUGGAGCAUGUGGUUUAAUUCGAUGCAACGCGAAGAACCUUACCUACUCUUGACAUCCAGAGAACUUAGCAGAGAUGCUUUGGUGCCUUCGGGAACUCUGAGACAGGUGCUGCAUGGCUGUCGUCAGCUCGUGUUGUGAAAUGUUGGGUUAAGUCCCGCAACGAGCGCAACCCUUAUCCUUUGUUGCCAGCGGUCCGGCCGGGAACUCAAAGGAGACUGCCAGUGAUAAACUGGAGGAAGGUGGGGAUGACGUCAAGUCAUCAUGGCCCUUACGAGUAGGGCUACACACGUGCUACAAUGGCAUAUACAAAGAGAAGCGACCUCGCGAGAGCAAGCGGACCUCAUAAAGUAUGUCGUAGUCCGGAUUGGAGUCUGCAACUCGACUCCAUGAAGUCGGAAUCGCUAGUAAUCGUAGAUCAGAAUGCUACGGUGAAUACGUUCCCGGGCCUUGUACACACCGCCCGUCACACCAUGGGAGUGGGUUGCAAAAGAAGUAGGUAGCUUAACCUUCGGGAGGGCGCUACC